GGCCCGUUGGUCAAGGGGUUAAGACGCAUCCCUUUCACGGAUGAAUCACGAGUUCGAUUCUCGUACGGGCUA
Molecule: non-coding RNA, 72 nt
Organism: Sphingobacteriales bacterium 40-81
Lineage: Bacteria; Pseudomonadati; Bacteroidota; Sphingobacteriia; Sphingobacteriales
Source: Rfam